Apodemus sylvaticus (European woodmouse) is the source of this 136-nucleotide small nucleolar RNA. RefSeq annotates it as small nucleolar RNA SNORA17. Lineage: Eukaryota; Metazoa; Chordata; Mammalia; Rodentia; Muridae. The record is from RefSeq and is a predicted model, not a curated record. The transcript has a single exon.
CCUAACCCAGAGGCAUUGCAGGUGUGGCUACUGUGCCACAUGUGCGUCAAUAGGUGGCAGAUGGGAGAGAGGCUAUGUCUAUGCUCAGUGUUUUGACCUGCAAACACUGACCUAUGAAUGAUUAGCAGCCUACAAU